This 254-nucleotide ribosomal RNA is filed under the name uncultured bacterium. Its description in RNAcentral is "partial 16S ribosomal RNA". It matches the Rfam family "Bacterial small subunit ribosomal RNA", at positions 524 to 776 of the family's 1533-position model. The record is from RNAcentral.
UACGUAGGGCGCAAGCGUUGUCCGGAUUCACUGGGUGUAAAGGGUGCGCAGGCGGACUGGCAAGUCAGGGGUGAAAUCUCACAGCUCAACUGUGAAACUGCCUUUGAUACUGCUGGUCUUGAGUCAGGGAGAGGUUGAUGGAAUUCCAGGUGUAGCGGUGAAAUGCGUAGAUAUCUGGAGGAACACCGGUGGCGAAGGCGGCAUCCUGGACCAACACUGACGCUGAGUGAGCGAAAGCCAGGGGAGCAAACGGG